GUAGGAGGCAAGCGUUAUCCGGAUUUACUGGGCGUAAAGCGCGUGCAGGGCGGUUUGGUAAGUCGGACGUGAAAGCUCCCGGGCUCAACUGGGAGAGGCCGUUCGAAACUACCAGGACUAGAGGGCAGCAGAGGGAAGUGGAAUUCCAGGUGUAGCGGUGAGAUGCGUAGAUAUCUGGAGGAACACCAGUGGCGAAGGCGGCUUCCUGGACUGUCCCUGACGCUAAGACGCGAAAGCUAGGGGAGCGAACGGGAUUAGAAACCCCGGUAGUCCUAGCUGUAAACGAUGCACACUUGGUGUUGGUGGCGUAAAAACCAUCAGUGCCGCAGCUAACGCGAUAAGUGUGCCGCCUGGGGACUACGGUCGCAAAGGCUA
This 375-nucleotide ribosomal RNA is filed under the name uncultured organism. RNAcentral describes it as "partial 16S ribosomal RNA". It matches the Rfam family "Bacterial small subunit ribosomal RNA", at positions 527 to 896 of the family's 1533-position model. The record is from RNAcentral.